RNAcentral lists this unclassified non-coding RNA (269 nucleotides) under plant metagenome. RNAcentral describes it as "partial contains small subunit ribosomal RNA, internal transcribed spacer 1, and 5.8S ribosomal RNA". The record is from RNAcentral.
UUUCCGUAAGUGAACCUGCGGAAGGAUCAUUAAUGAGUUGUCAUGGGGUUCGAUGCUGGCAGCCAAUUUUUGGAUGCAUGUGCUUGCCCCAACAAUCAUCUUCCAAACACCUGUGCACAUUUUUGAGGGAGUCUUGAGUUGGUUGCCGCUCUUGGGUGAUUUUCUCACAUUCCCUUAAAUCAUUAUACGCUAUUAACAAUGUUGAACGUGCUCUGUGCCGCAAGGCUAUUAAUAUAAUACAACUUUUAACAACGGAUCUCUUGGCUCUC